UACGUAGGGUGCGAGCGUUAAUCGGAAUCACUGGGCGUAAAGCGCCCGUAGGCGGCUUCUUAAGUCAGGGGUGAAAUCCUGGAGCUCAACUCCAGAACUGCCUUUGAUACUGGGAAGCUUGAGUCCGGAAGAGGUGAGUGGAACUCCGAGUGUAGAGGUGAAAUUCGUAGAUAUUCGGAAGAACACCAGUGGCGAAGGCGGCUCACUGGUCCGGUACUGACGCUGAGGUGCGAAAGCGUGGGGAGCAAACAGG
RNAcentral lists this ribosomal RNA (253 nucleotides) under uncultured bacterium. Its description in RNAcentral is "partial 16S ribosomal RNA". It matches the Rfam family "Bacterial small subunit ribosomal RNA", at positions 524 to 776 of the family's 1533-position model. The record is from RNAcentral.